AGUCAAUAGAUACCCCGGUAGUCCACGCCCUAAACGAUGUCAACUAGGUGUUGGGUGGGUAAAACCAUUUAGUACCGGAGCUAAACGCGUGAAAGUUGACCGCCUGGGGAGUACGGCCGCAAGGUUAAAACUCAAAGGAAUUGACGGGGACCCGCACAAGCGGUGGAUGAUGUGGAUUAAUUCGAUGCAACGCGAAAAACCUCACCUACCCUUGACAUGCCAGGAACUUGCCAGAGAUGGCUUGGUGCCCGAAAGGGAGCCUGGACACAGGUGCUGCAUGGCUGUCGUCAGCUCGUGUCGUGAGAUGUUGGGUCAAGUCCCGCAACGAGCGCAACCCUUGUCGUUGAUUGCCAUCAUUUGGUUGGGCACUUUAACGAGACUGCCGGUGACAAACCGGAGGAAGGUGGGGAUGACGUCAAGUCCUCAUGGCCCUUAUGGGUAGGGCUUCACACGUCAUACAAUGGUCGGUACAGAGGGUUGCCAAGCCGCGAGGCGGAGCCAAUCCCAGAAAGCCGAUCGUAGUCCGGAUCGUAGGCUGCAACUCG
RNAcentral lists this ribosomal RNA (545 nucleotides) under uncultured bacterium. Its description in RNAcentral is "bacterial SSU rRNA". It matches the Rfam family "Bacterial small subunit ribosomal RNA", at positions 775 to 1314 of the family's 1533-position model. The record is from RNAcentral.